Molecule: ribosomal RNA, 30 nt
Filed under: Mucor racemosus f. racemosus
Lineage: Eukaryota; Fungi; Mucoromycota; Mucoromycetes; Mucorales; Mucoraceae
Description: partial 28S ribosomal RNA
Source: RNAcentral
UUGAUCUGAAAUCAGGCGGGAUUACCCGCU